Non-coding RNA from Pelobates cultripes (western spadefoot toad), 650 nucleotides. The record is from the annotation of a GenBank genome assembly. Lineage: Eukaryota; Metazoa; Chordata; Amphibia; Anura; Pelobatidae.
GCCCAAUAGUACAAAAAUUUUUUUUAGAUAUGAAAAUAUAGUAUUUAAAUUAUAAAUAGAAAAAAUUUGUUACUGAAAAACCAAAAGAUAUUAACUGUGGACAAAAAGCUCACAUGUACUAAUAUACAGAGUAGGUAGUCGUUUAAGGUCUGCAGGUGGGUACUUGAGGUAUUAAUCCUUGUGUAUUACUUUAAAUGAAAACUAAUAUAUAAAUGUAUGGCUAUGGGUCACUCCGUGGUUUAUUUACUAAAUAGAGAAUUCUGGUGGUCUGAAAAUAAAGUUGAAAAUGGUAAACUAAAAUAGCUCACUUAGAACAUUUUUCCUGAAUUUGUUUUCCAGUCCAUGUCUAUCCUGCUUAGUAAAUAUACCCUUAUGUGUUCAUUAUUCAGUGGACUAUAACGUACAAUUUGACUGUCUAGCAUUAUAAAAAAAAAAAACAUGGUAGCCAGAUUUGGUGAAAAUAUUAAACAUCUCGACGGCUGCCCUAAAGAAAUAUUAUAUUCAAUAUUAGAUCUAUUAACUCUUUGUGUGAUGAAGAGAUGAGCCACACUUUGCAGAGAUAUAUGUGUGAUUCUUUUUCUCUAAACUCUACAUCUGAUCUAGUUAAUAAUUUCAUAGCAAUUACACUAAACAUAUUUUAGUAUGCAAAG